GUAGCAGAAACAUUCGCGUAUAAUAAAAAAUUCGCGGUUGCUGAAGUCCUGCUCGAUGGAUUCUGUGCUGGCAUCUAUCGUCAGUCGGAGAAACUACGUACCUUCGAAAGUCCCACGGGUAGUUCCAAAGGAAUCCGUCUGUUUUGUACAGCGCUAUCAAUCAUACACAGUUGCCAAAGUGUCAAGAAUCCCCUUAUCAAUGAAAGUUUCUUUAUCUUAUCUAUUAACAUCGGGAGCUUUCAUCAUCCAUUCGGAUUAAAUUUUGCCGGAGAAAUAAGUUUUGUUUAGUUCGCCGCGAGAAAUCUUGGAUCAUUGCUCAUUAGAUACGUUUUAUUUUCACUAACUCUGGAGUUGCGUAAACGUGUCGAAACUUCCCUAACCUCACUUUCACUUUGUAAACUUUGUUGUAAACAAAAAAUCUCUUAUAAUGAGACUGUUCUAGCUCUUUUGAAUAUUACUAAAAUUUGUGUCUACAAUAAUGGAAGAAGACGUCAUAGAUCAAAAGUUACAGUCAGUUGAUGCAGCCCUUGUGGAGGGGGAUCUGAAAGCAGCGCUGAAGAUUUGCAAAGAAAUAUUGCAAGCAGAUCAAACAAACUACAAAGCUCUCGUAAAGAUUGGUUUGGUGUUAUUGAAGCGGGACUUGACUGACCAGGCUCUCAAAGCGUUCCGUAAGGCAACGUUGGUGGCUCCACAGAAUUUUGAAGCCUGGUAUCAUCUGCUGGGAUAUUAUCUGACGGAUAAAUCAUCGGAUCAAACAAAUCAAUUGAUUCCAAUCUACGUUGGAUUACUCCAGGCUGAGGCGGAUGUGUUUGCAUGGCAAGAGCAUGUCAACAAGUUCUUGGAUUUAUGUGACCGCAAAGGUGACCUAAGUGCAGCCGUACCCUUACUUGCAAGUAUAGCCCGAAAUGGUGUUGGUUUGAAGCUGGAAUUCUGCUUGAAAGCCCUACAAAGAAUUUGUGCAGCAAAAUGGCCAGAAGAUCAGCUAAUAUACGUAUGUAAUUCCCAACUUUUAUCUUCGUUCAAGGGUCAGAAUACAGGUACAACAUGUCGGAACUUGAAUUAGAUGACUCAAAUUACCUAGCAGUU
Molecule: long non-coding RNA, 1086 nt
Filed under: Bemisia tabaci
Lineage: Eukaryota; Metazoa; Arthropoda; Insecta; Hemiptera; Aleyrodidae
Description: lncRNA ENSSSA3NGG014197
Source: RNAcentral